UGGUGGAGUGAUUUGUCUGGUUAAUUCCGUUAACGAACGAGACCUUAGCCUGCUAACUAGUUAUGUCAAUUUGCAUUGACACUAGCUUCUUAGAGGGACUUUGUGAAUCAACACAAGGAAGUUUGAGGCAAUAACA
This 136-nucleotide ribosomal RNA is filed under the name uncultured eukaryote. RNAcentral describes it as "partial 18S ribosomal RNA". It matches the Rfam family "Eukaryotic small subunit ribosomal RNA", at positions 1299 to 1458 of the family's 1831-position model. The record is from RNAcentral.